GACGUAGGGCGCGAGCGUUGUCCGGAAUUAUUGGGCGUAAAGGGCUCGUAGGCGGUCCAUCGCGUUGGGAGUGAAAAGCUGGGGCUCAACCCCAGUCCUGCUUUCGAUACGGGUGGACUAGAGGUAGGCAGGGGAGAACGGAAUUCCUGGUGUAGCGGUGAAAUGCGCAGAUAUCAGGAGGAACACCGGUGGCGAAGGCGGUUCUCUGGGCCUUACCUGACGCUGAGGAGCGAAAGUGUGGGGAGCGAACAGG
This 253-nucleotide ribosomal RNA is filed under the name uncultured bacterium. Its description in RNAcentral is "partial 16S ribosomal RNA". It matches the Rfam family "Bacterial small subunit ribosomal RNA", at positions 524 to 776 of the family's 1533-position model. The record is from RNAcentral.